RNAcentral lists this transfer RNA (90 nucleotides) under Hyphomicrobiaceae bacterium. RNAcentral describes it as "tRNA-Ser". It matches the Rfam family "tRNA". From Rfam's summary of the family: Transfer RNA (tRNA) molecules are approximately 80 nucleotides in length. Their secondary structure includes four short double-helical elements and three loops (D, anti-codon, and T loops). Further hydrogen bonds mediate the characteristic L-shaped molecular structure. tRNAs have two regions of fundamental functional importance: the anti-codon, which is responsible for specific mRNA codon recognition, and the 3' end, to which the tRNAs corresponding amino acid is attached (by aminoacyl-tRNA synthetases). tRNAs cope with the degeneracy of the genetic code in two manners: having more than one tRNA (with a specific anti-codon) for a particular amino acid; and 'wobble' base-pairing, i.e. permitting non-standard base-pairing at the 3rd anti-codon position. The record is from RNAcentral. Lineage: Bacteria; Pseudomonadati; Pseudomonadota; Alphaproteobacteria; Hyphomicrobiales; Hyphomicrobiaceae.
GGAGAGGUGGCCGAGUGGUUGAAGGCGCUCCCCUGCUAAGGGAGUAUACGGGAGACCGUAUCGAGGGUUCGAAUCCCUUCCUCUCCGCCA